GUGCUCACUUCAGCAUCCCAUACACUAAAACAGGAACAAAACAGAAAAGAAUAACAUGGCCCCUAAAAAAGAUGACAUAAUUCGUGAAGUGUUCCCUAUUUUU
Saimiri boliviensis boliviensis (Bolivian squirrel monkey) is the source of this 103-nucleotide small nuclear RNA. Lineage: Eukaryota; Metazoa; Chordata; Mammalia; Primates; Cebidae. The record is from Ensembl.